RNAcentral lists this ribosomal RNA (499 nucleotides) under uncultured bacterium. RNAcentral's name for it is "partial 16S ribosomal RNA". It matches the Rfam family "Bacterial small subunit ribosomal RNA", at positions 28 to 507 of the family's 1533-position model. The record is from RNAcentral.
GACGAACGCUGGCGGCGUGCCUAAUACAUGCAAGUCGAGCGAAGUUUUUCUGGUGCUUGCACCGGAAAAACUUAGCGGCGAACGGGUGAGUAACACGUAAAGAACCUGCCUCAUAGACUGGGACAACUAUUGGAAACGAUAGCUAAUAACGGAUAACAGCAUUAACUGCAUGGUUGAUGAUUAAAAGUUGGUUUUGCUAACACUAUGAGAUGGCUUUGCGUUGCAUUAGCUAGUUGGUGGGGUAAAGGCCUACCAAGGCGACGAUGCAUAGCCGACCUGAGAGGGUGAUCGGCCACACUGGAACUGAGACACGGCCCAGACUCCUACGGGAGGCAGCAGUAGGGAAUCUUCCGCAAUGGGCGAAAGCCUGACGGAGCAACGCCGCGUGAGUGAAGAAGGAUUUCGGUUCGUAAAGCUCUGUUGUUAGGGAAGAAUGAUUGUGUAGUAACUAUACGCAGUAGUGACGGUACCUAACCAGAAAGCCACGGCUAACUACGUG